Oreochromis niloticus (Nile tilapia) is the source of this 2937-nucleotide long non-coding RNA. The record is from Ensembl. Lineage: Eukaryota; Metazoa; Chordata; Actinopteri; Cichliformes; Cichlidae.
GACUCUUCACAUAAAACGAAUAAUAGACUCCUCUCCGAUUCAUGGGGAACUUCCCUCCUAGAGGACGAUGUGGCCUGGGAAGAACUUUUCUGCUCUGCUCCCUCUGAGCUAGGAUUCAUUAAGGACAAUACCCGCGCUUCAACAUCCCCGAGGACUGUUCACCUAAAGACUGUAAAUGGUGAUGGCAGAAAGGCCAGAGCAAUCUCUGAUAAUCCUGUUACAGUUCCUGUGUAUGCAAACCCUAGGCCUGGUCGCUCUGGCACUGUUUUAUCUGAGUCUGCUCCUUCGUCCACCUGUCAGCCUGUUCCAGUUUCUUUAGCUCAGGCCACUGUUAAAAAUACCCAGUCACCUAAACCAGUCAGUAUUCCCACUUCCAUCAGUCAGUCUACACCCGCACCUGUGCCAGCUCCCAGGAGGAGGGCAGCUGCGACCCAGCCUACCUCCGCACCCGCUCCUGUUUCUCGGGUGGGGGUGACUGGUGUCCAGCCACCUCCCGUGCCUGUCCCGGCGCCUAGGCUGAAGGCAGCUAGAACCCAGCCUGACCUCCCUAGAGUCUCGGAAGAGCUAGCCUCUCCAUCUGCUGUUUCACCUCUUCAUCCUGAUCCAGCCUUUCACGCCCUCACAUUAUCACUGGUUAAGCUAGCUGAGGUUUCUCCUGCUCAGGCACCAGCUUUACUAGCCCAGGCUAUAGCUUUAUCUCCCUCACUAGCACAGUCUAUAGCUCAACCCCCAGCCACACCAACCACAGCUCCGUCGUCAGCCUCACCCACCUCUAUUCAUCCCUUAGCAUCCCCACUCCAGUCAGCUCCCUCUCCUGCUGUUCAGCCUCCAGCCCAGUCAGCUCCCUCUCCUGCUGUUCAGCCUCCAGCCCAGUCAGCUCCCUCUCCUGCUGUUCAGCCUCCAGCCCAGUCACCUGCUCUCGUCCAGUCACCUGUAGUUCAGUCACCUGCUCCACUCCAGUCAGUAGCACAGCCUGCUCCACUCCAGUCAGUAGUCCAGCCUCCUGUCCAGCCUGCUCCUGUAGCUCAGGCACCCGUAGCGCAGUCAGCCCCUGUCCAGUCAGCCCCUGUCCAGUCAGCCCUUGUCCAGUCAGCCCCUGUCCAACCGCCUCCAGUCCAGUCUGUAGUCCAGCCCUCUCCUGUCCAGUCUGUAGUCCAGCCCUCUCCUGUCCAGUCUGUAGUCCAGCCCUCUCCUGUCCUCUCUGUAGUCCAGCCCUCUCCUGUCCUCCAGUCCUCUCCUGUAGUUAAGUCUCCUUCUGUCCUCCAGUCCUCUCCUGUAGUUAAGUCUCCUUCUGUCCUCCAGUCCCCUCCUGUAGUUAAGUCUCCUUCUGUCCUCCAGUCCCCCAUUCUCCAGUCACCUCCUGUCCAGUCAGUCCAGUCGCCCCCCGUAGCUCAGUGCCCUGCUCCCCAGUUGCCUCCUGUCACCCAGUCACCUGUCCUCCAGCCUGUCCAGUCAGUUCAGUCUGUCGUCCAGCAUCCUGUUAGUCAGUCAUCCGUUCUCUCACCGUCUGUAGCCCACUCUCCUGUUCAGUUCCCAGACCUGCAGCCACAGCAUCCAGAGCCAGCUGUGAGCUCUCCGGCACCUCAGCCAGGGGUUUCCGCACCCGCUGGCCCGGCCGCACCUCAGCCAGGGGUUUCCGCACCCGCUGGCCCGGCCGCACCUCAGCCAGGGGUUUCCGCACCCGCUGGCCCGGCCGCACCUCAGCCAGAGGCUUCCGCGCCUACUGGCCCUGCCUGUCUCCAGCCAGAGGCUUCCGCGCCUACUGGCCCUGCCUGUCUCCAGCCAGAGGCUUCCGCGCCUACUGGCCCUGCCUGUCUCCAGCCAGAGGCUUCCGCGCCUACUGGCCCUGCCUGUCUCCAGCCAGAGGCUUCCGCGCCUACUGGCCCUGCCUGUCUCCAGCCAGAGGCUUCCGCGCCUACUGGCCCUGCCUGUCUCCAGCCAGAGGUUUCCCCGCCUACUGGCCCUGCCUGUCUCCAGCCAGAGGUUUCCACGCCUACUGGCCCUGCCUGUCUCCAGCCAGAGGUUUCCACGCCUACUGGCCCUGCCUGUCUCCAGCCAGAGGCUUCCGCGCCUGCUGACUCUGCAGGUGUUGCUUUGCCCUCUGCUGCUGCUACGUCGCCUGGUCCGGCCUCGGCCUCUGCUGCUGCUACGUCACCUGGUCCGGCCUCCGCUUCAGCUUCUGCGUCGCCUGGUCCGGCCUCCGCUUCGGCUUCUGCGUCGCCUGGUCCGGCCUCCGCUUCGGCUUCUGCGCCGCCUGGUCCGGCCUCCGCUUCGGCUUCUGAUUCGCCUUCUGCCUGGGCUUCUGAUUCGCCUUCUGCUUGGGCUUCUGAUUCGCCUUCUGCCUGGGCUUCUGAUUCGCCUUCUGCCUGGGCUUCUGAUUCGCCUUCUGCCUGGGCUUCUGAUUCGCCUUCUGCCUCGCCUGGCCCGGCCUCGGCCUCAGCUUCAUCCUCUCCUUCGCCUGGCCGCCGCCUUCCUCGCGGCCGCCCACCGGACCGGCUUCAGCGUCGCCGCCUUCCUCGCGGCCGCCCACCGGACCGGCUUCAGCGUCGCCGCCUUCCUCGCGGCCGCCCACCGGACCGGCUUCAGCGUCGCCGCCGUCUUCCUCGCGGCCGCCACCGGACCGGCUUCAGCGUCGCCGCCGCCUUCCUCGCGGCCGCCCACCUGACCUGUCCAGGCUCAGCCACUGGCCGCGUGGCCGCCCGCCUGAACUGUCCGGGCUCAGCCACUGGCCGCGUGGCCGCCCGCCUGAACUGUCCGGGCUCAGCCACUGGCCGCGUGGCCGCCCACCUGAACUGUUUUUGUCUCGGACUCCGUCCCUCCGUCCUGGGCCCCUCCGCCCUCCCUGUUCUGGUUUUUCGUUCUUUUGGCCGUCGGGUGCCGGCCUUUGAAGGGGGGGGUCCUGUCAGGGUUUCUGGGUCAUUGACCCAGUAUUCUUAG